This is a long non-coding RNA of Ipomoea nil (Japanese morning glory), 94 nucleotides long. RefSeq lists it as uncharacterized. The transcript is spliced from 3 exons. Lineage: Eukaryota; Viridiplantae; Streptophyta; Magnoliopsida; Solanales; Convolvulaceae. The record is from RefSeq and is a predicted model, not a curated record.
AAUCAGAAACAAUUGAACCUCUAACCUCAAUUUUGAAUUGAAGAUCAGUUGAUGAAGUCAUGAGGAACCAAUUCGUUUGUAACCUUCAAUUAUC